GGGGAUAUAACUCAGGUGGUAGAGUACUUGCCUCACAUGCACAAGGCCCUAGGUUCAAUCCCCAGUACCACCC
This 73-nucleotide transfer RNA is filed under the name Ictidomys tridecemlineatus (thirteen-lined ground squirrel). RNAcentral's name for it is "Spermophilus tridecemlineatus (thirteen-lined ground squirrel) tRNA". It matches the Rfam family "tRNA". From Rfam's summary of the family: Transfer RNA (tRNA) molecules are approximately 80 nucleotides in length. Their secondary structure includes four short double-helical elements and three loops (D, anti-codon, and T loops). The record is from Rfam by way of RNAcentral. Lineage: Eukaryota; Metazoa; Chordata; Mammalia; Rodentia; Sciuridae.